This 301-nucleotide ribosomal RNA is filed under the name uncultured bacterium. RNAcentral describes it as "partial 16S ribosomal RNA". It matches the Rfam family "Bacterial small subunit ribosomal RNA", at positions 509 to 809 of the family's 1533-position model. The record is from RNAcentral.
CAGUCGCCGCGGGAAUACAGAGGGUGCGAGCGUUAAUCGGAUUUACUGGGAGUAAAGCGUGCGUAGGCGGCUUUUUAAGUCGGAUGUGAAAUCCCUGAGCUUAACUUAGGAAUUGCAUUCGAUACUGGGAAGCUAGAGUAUGGGAGAGGAUGGUAGAAUUCCAGGUGUAGCGGUGAAAUGCGUAGAGAUCUGGAGGAAUACCGAUGGCGAAGGCAGCCAUCUGGCCUAAUACUGACGCUGAGGUACGAAAGCAUGGGGAGCAAACAGGAUUAGAGACCCCCGUAGUCCCUGUCUCUUAUAA